UUUAAUGAGAGUUUGAUCCUGGCUCAGGACGAACGCUGGCGGCGUGCCUAAUACAUGCAAGUAGAACGCUGAGGUUUGGUGUUUACACUAGACUGAUGAGUUGCGAACGGGUGAGUAACGCGUAGGUAACCUGCCUCAUAGCGGGGGAUAACUAUUGGAAACGAUAGCUAAUACCGCAUAAGAGUAAUUAACACAUGUUAGUUAUUUAAAAGGAGCAAUUGCUUCACUGUGAGAUGGACCUGCGUUGUAUUAGCUAGUUGGUGAGGUAAAGGCUCACCAAGGCGACGAUACAUAGCCGACCUGAGAGGGUGAUCGGCCACACUGGGACUGAGACACGGCCCAGACUCCUACGGGAGGCAGCAGUAGGGAAUCUUCGGCAAUGGACGGAAGUCUGACCG
RNAcentral lists this ribosomal RNA (398 nucleotides) under Streptococcus agalactiae. Its description in RNAcentral is "bacterial SSU rRNA". It matches the Rfam family "Bacterial small subunit ribosomal RNA", at positions 1 to 389 of the family's 1533-position model. The record is from RNAcentral. Lineage: Bacteria; Bacillati; Bacillota; Bacilli; Lactobacillales; Streptococcaceae.